This 76-nucleotide transfer RNA is filed under the name Mustela putorius furo (domestic ferret). It matches the Rfam family "tRNA". Rfam says of the family: Transfer RNA (tRNA) molecules are approximately 80 nucleotides in length. Their secondary structure includes four short double-helical elements and three loops (D, anti-codon, and T loops). The record is from Rfam by way of RNAcentral. Lineage: Eukaryota; Metazoa; Chordata; Mammalia; Carnivora; Mustelidae.
GCCUGGCUGGCUCAACUGGUAGAGCAUGCGACUCUUGAUCUUCUUGGGGUUGUGAGUUCGAGCCCCAUGCUGGGUA